CAGAAGUCGACUCUGUUCACGUUCUCUCACAGCGCGAAAACGUUCAGGUCUGCUGCAACACAACAGCACUCAGAAAGCAAACAUGUCAAAGAUAGACAAGAUGAGCAUCUUAGGGGUGAGGAGUUUUGGGAUAGAGGAUAAAGACAAACAAGUCAUUACUUUCUUCACUCCACUGACUGUGCUAGUUGGACCCAAUGGAGCAGGGAAAACGACUAUUAUUGAGUGCCUUAAGUAUGCAACAGCAGGAGAGCUUCCGCCUGGAUCUAAAGGAGGGGCAUUUGUUCAUGAUCCAAAAG
Notothenia coriiceps (black rockcod) is the source of this 296-nucleotide long non-coding RNA. RefSeq lists it as uncharacterized. The transcript has 3 exons. The record is from RefSeq and is a predicted model, not a curated record. NCBI's taxonomy places the organism in Eukaryota, Metazoa, Chordata, Actinopteri, Perciformes, Nototheniidae.